CAGCAGCCGCGGGAAUACGGAGGGUGCAAGCGUUAUCCGGAUUUAUUGAGUUUAAAGGGUCCGUAGGCGGACUUAUAAGUCAGUGGUGAAAGCCUGUCGCUUAACGAUAGAACUGCCAUUGAUACUGUAAGUCUUGAGUAUAUUUGAGGUAGCUGGAAUAAGUAGUGUAGCGGUGAAAUGCAUAGAUAUUACUUAGAACACCAAUUGCGAAGGCAGGUUACCAAGAUAUAACUGACGCUGAGGGACGAAAGCGUGGGUAGCGAACAGGAUUAGAUACCCCCGUAGUCCCUGUCUCUUAUAC
RNAcentral lists this ribosomal RNA (301 nucleotides) under uncultured bacterium. RNAcentral's name for it is "partial 16S ribosomal RNA". It matches the Rfam family "Bacterial small subunit ribosomal RNA", at positions 509 to 807 of the family's 1533-position model. The record is from RNAcentral.